RNAcentral lists this long non-coding RNA (585 nucleotides) under Trifolium pratense (red clover). RNAcentral's name for it is "long non-coding RNA (TPRA_LNC009468)". Lineage: Eukaryota; Viridiplantae; Streptophyta; Magnoliopsida; Fabales; Fabaceae. The record is from RNAcentral.
GAUCAACACCAAUGUCUACACUUGAGUCAAAAUGCAGUGAUGCAUCAAGGUCCACAAAGGGAAUGUAAUUAGACUAAAAUCCAGUACCCUCAGUGAGAGAUCAUUUGCCUUUGGAAGUUGUUAUCAUAACAGCAAGAACGUUCUCAAAUUGUACUCCUUGAAAAACUCAGGUUCAACAAAUGUUUUGAAAAAGCUUUUGUUUCCAGGUUUGGCUUCAACAUCAAUUAUCUCAUGUAAUGAAUGUCCUUUAUAUUAAAGGUGGUGCUGGCAUAAAGAUCUUUUCCUUAAGAUCAAAUUUGUAGGUAUGAAAAAUCUCGGUGAAGAUCAUCCCAUAAGGAAGAAUAAAUUUUUCAGCCUCUUCUUUUCUUUGCUUCAUUUUUUUGGAAAUACAGAAUGUUGGAACAUGUUGUGAAACACCUUGUAUUCCAUCUUGAGAGUUGAUGAAAGAGAUUUUUCCAUUUAAGUACCAUAUGCAUUGAUGUCUCCAUGAUUAAAUCAUUUAUUCACAAUUUCAAAGCGGUGUACCAAUACCAUUGUUCAUUCCAAUGAAAAAGUUCUUAUAAUUGAGAGCUAUGAUCUUAUGAU